This 449-nucleotide ribosomal RNA is filed under the name uncultured bacterium. Its description in RNAcentral is "partial 16S ribosomal RNA". It matches the Rfam family "Bacterial small subunit ribosomal RNA", at positions 29 to 523 of the family's 1533-position model. The record is from RNAcentral.
AACGAACGCUGGCGGCAUGCCUAACACAUGCAAGUCGAACGAGAUCUUCGGGUCUAGUGGCGCACGGGUGCGUAACGCGUGGGAAUCUGCCCUUUGGUUCGGAAUAACAGUUGGAAACGACUGCUAAUACCGGAUGAUGACGAAAGUCCAAAGAUUUAUCGCCAGAGGAUGAGCCCGCGUAGGAUUAGCUAGUUGGUGUGGUAAAGGCGCACCAAGGCGACGAUCCUUAGCUGGUCUGAGAGGAUGGUCAGCCACACUGGGACUGAGACACGGCCCAGACUCCUACGGGAGGCAGCAGUGGGGAAUAUUGGACAAUGGGCGAAAGCCUGAUCCAGCAAUGCCGCGUGAGUGAUGAAGGCCUUAGGGUUGUAAAGCUCUUUUACCCGGGAUGAUAAUGACAGUACCGGGAGAAUAAGCUCCAGCUAACUCCGUGCCAGCAGCCGCAGUAA